RNAcentral lists this ribosomal RNA (731 nucleotides) under Sandona pentamutans. RNAcentral describes it as "eukaryotic LSU rRNA". The stretch from base 405 to 731 matches the Rfam family "Eukaryotic large subunit ribosomal RNA", at positions 1 to 324 of the family's 3401-position model. The record is from RNAcentral. Lineage: Eukaryota; Cercozoa; Glissomonadida; Sandonidae.
CAAUCUUUGACGCAAUUGCGCUCUUGGGUAGCCCUAGGAGCACGCCUCUCUCAGUAUCGGUUCAACAACCUCUCAGCAGCGUAGAUUUCACGAUCUACGUGUUGGCUGGAUAAUGAGAGUCUGAAUUUUACUAUUCAGUCUCUUGAAAUACAUCGAGUAAGUAUCAUCACAUGCCUACGCAUUAUAGAUCUCUCGGGGUCUAUAGCCAAGUCUCUGACUGGUCUGCACGGUAGUAAGUGACGUGAAUACUGAGCCUUGUGCUCUCACAUUUACGUGUAACUUCUGUCGGGUGACUAUAAUAAAGGUCUAGGAUGAGGUGUCGUUUGGGAGCAGGUGUACUUAUGUUAAGCGGCUGCAAGGCUGCAAUCGGCUAAAGUAAUCUAUGAUUACUGAAGUCUGAAUUUUGAUCUGAGAUGAAGCGAGACAACCCCCUGAAUUUAAGCAUAUUAAUAAGGGGAGGAAAAGAAACUAACAAGGAUUCCCCCAGUAACGGCGAGUGAAGCGGGAAGAGCUCAAUUUGAAAAUCGUCUACCUAAGCGGGUCGACGAGUUGUAGCCUAGAGACGUACUAUCAGCUGAAACCUGGGUAUAAGUUCUUUGGAAUGAGGCAUCAUAGAGGGUGAGAAUCCCGUAUAUGACCCAAAGCUUUCAGCGUACGAUGUAUGUUCAUCGAGUCGAGUUGUUUGGGAUUGCAGCUCUAAAUGGGUGGUAAGUUCAUCUAAGCUAAAUAUG